UCAAAUUUUAAAGUUUGAAUUCACAACUAAAAAUAGUGUUAGUCGUGAAUUUAAGUUUUAAAGUGUGAAUUCGCAACUAGAAAUAGUAUUAGUCGUGAAUUCAAGUUUUAAAUUGUGACACCCAAAUUCAAUUAAAAUUGACAUGUAUAUUUUUGCGGAAAAAUCAUGAAUAUAAAUAACUAUUUAAUGAGAAAUUCAUGAAAUAAUUUUUAUUUAAAAUAUUUUACUCAAAGUAACAUCUUUAGUUAAAGCUAAAUACAAAGUAUUUGAUUCGUCAUUCGACCUUCCACACGCCUCCGACCUUUAAAACCUGAAAAUGUUAAAUAUAGGAUGAGCAUACAGAGUACACUCAGUGUGAGAACAUGCAAUUAUUGUCCAAAUUAAUAAAACGGUAACACACAUGGCUAUUUCAUACAUAUCCUCAAUAUUCGCAUGUGGCAAUCCAAGGAUUUUAAAGUCCCGACCCUAUUUACGGACCCCUGGCGACAUCCUCAAUAUAAUGGUUGCAACCCUGUAAUAUGUAAUCGCAUUGUGGUAAUCCAAUGACCUUUUCGUCCUAGACCCUAUUCACGGGGCCCCUAGCGAUACAUAAUAACUGCAAAUCGCAUUGUGGCAAUCCAAGGACUGUGAAGUCCUAGAUCCUAUUUACGGGCCCCUAGCGAUAUCCUCAAAAUAUACGUCAUAACACAUAUGAUAAACACAUAUUAUUAAAAUGGACAAUAAAUAACCACGGCAUGUAUUUAAAUAAAUCUCACACCUGAAACUUUUGAAAUGUAAUUGCAAUAAAUUUAAAAUCCACGUUCUAGUCGCGCCGCACCAGCUGAAAGAGACAAAGCUGAAAUUUGUAGUGAGAGUGACAGAUUUGAGUUAUGUUGUGAAAAGAACAAAUGGAGAAAUCUGUUGAUGGUUUAUGGAUUGAAAAUAUGGAUUGAGAAUUAUUAAAUAAGGAUGAUAAAAUCCAGUUUAAAUAGAAGUAAUUUCGUGUACUGCGAUAAGAAGUAAAAGAUGGUACUUGCUUUCCAAGAAUUGGAAACUAAAUAUGUGGCUGGAGAUUGUACUAGCUGUACAAGUAUGAAUGUUCUUCAAGAUUAAGGCAAAGAAAUUGAAAUUGAAAUUAAAAUAUGUGAAUAUGUGGUUGGAGGUGAAGUAGAAUAGUGGCUAAAAAAGAAAACACGUCUCAACAUUUUUUUUUCCUGAAUGAAGCUGUAAAUUUUUUGAAACAGUAGAGAAAAAUGAAUGAUGAUAACUAAAAAGUCAUGGGCUCAUAUUGGGCUCAUUUAAACUCUAGCCCAAUAAAUGUAAGUAAAUAAUAAUUAAGGUCAAAUAUAGAAAAUUAUGCAAAUAUUUUUUUUUCAGGGCCAAUCUUUGAGCAUAAGAGCUUUUAUUUGUUAAAGUUAAAAUCUGUAGAUUUUAAAUUAUUUAUCUAACUAGGGGCUCGACUACGAACUCGACUCGUAGAUAUAUUUUUUAAUAAUUUGAAAAUUUAAUAAUUUCCAAACAAAAAUUGUAAAGAAAAUAAAUGAUUUUGGGCUGUGACAUAAAUAAAUUCACAACUAGAAAUAUUGUUAGUCGUGAAUUCAAGCUUUAAAACUUAAAUUCACGACUAAUAUUAUUUCUAGCUGUGAAUUAAGUUGUGCAUUCAUCGAACUAAUUGUGAAUUUUAGUUUUAGUUUUGAAUUAAUAGAUCUAGUUGUAAAUUCAAGAACAUUAAGUUGUAAAUUCAUAGAUAUAGUCGUGAAUUCAAAUAACAUUAAGUUGUGUUUUUUAGAUUUACCGUGGCCAUGUCGCCGGCGAGGUCCGGUGUGGCCGCCGGCGUCGCCUUACCUUAGUCACUCUCAUCUACCUUUUUUCUUAACGUAACACACUCUCACUUCCUCAAUUCCAAAAUACACUCACAAUAGAAUCGACCCCUAACUUCUUCAUUACAGUCGCCGCCUCCAUCGCGGUUCUGAAGUCGGCGAGGUGCGCCCGACCCCGACUCUCCUUUUACUUCAUCUCACUCUGGACUCUACCCUCUAAAUUUUAGGGAAAUACUAGAUCGAGCCCUAACUCUUCUUUAUCAAAAUCGCCGCCUCUCUCUCUAUGUUCCAGCGAGCUUAAAACUCAUCGUGUCGCCGUGUCUCCAUCUCCGGCAGGGCGGCACUUAUAGAUUCCAACCGCCAUCGUCUAUCUUACUCUAGCCGGAAUGGACAACAACCGAUUGGGCCAUACCUCUCACUCACUUGCUGAAAUAGAUCAGCCAUCGUCGCCUCUUCGCAAAUCCGCGAGCCGUUGCUACUGAUCUGCCGUCACCAACUCACCG
RNAcentral lists this long non-coding RNA (2302 nucleotides) under Salvia miltiorrhiza (redroot sage). RNAcentral's name for it is "long non-coding RNA (SMIL_LNC005265)". The record is from RNAcentral. Lineage: Eukaryota; Viridiplantae; Streptophyta; Magnoliopsida; Lamiales; Lamiaceae.